This 317-nucleotide long non-coding RNA is filed under the name Elaeis guineensis (African oil palm). RNAcentral describes it as "long non-coding RNA (EGUI_LNC027292)". Lineage: Eukaryota; Viridiplantae; Streptophyta; Magnoliopsida; Arecales; Arecaceae. The record is from RNAcentral.
ACUGGUUCAAAGAGUUCUCUUGAUUCUAUUCAUGAAUACUUUGAUUCUGAUAUUAUCGUUACUGCUGAUGACUCACUUUAUCCUGUUGAAAGUAUUGAAAGUUUAUCUCUUACUUCUUCUAGUAGCUCAUCUCUCUUUAUGAGUGAUGUUUAUUUUCGUUUCUGAAAUAACGGAUAAGGGUUACUCUAUUCUGUUUGAGCCGGAUAAAGUGAGAAUCUUUUCUGGUGUUAAUAUUUCUGGCACUAUUGUUACUGAAAGGAGAAAGGUAAACAAGUUAUAUGUCUUAUCUACUGGUGAUUCUUAUGUUAAUAAUACUC